RNAcentral lists this ribosomal RNA (253 nucleotides) under uncultured bacterium. Its description in RNAcentral is "partial 16S ribosomal RNA". It matches the Rfam family "Bacterial small subunit ribosomal RNA", at positions 524 to 776 of the family's 1533-position model. The record is from RNAcentral.
UACAGAGGGUGCGAGCGUUAAUCGGAAUUACUGGGCGUAAAGCGUGCGUAGACGGCUAUCUAAGUCGGGUGUGAAAGCCCCGGGCUCAACCUGGGAAUUGCAUUCGAGACUGAAUAGCUAGGGUACGGUAGAGGGAAGCGGAAUUUCCGGUGUAGCGGUGAAAUGCGUAGAUAUCUGGAGGAAUACCGGUGGCGAAGGCGGCAUCCUGGACCGGCAUUGACGCUGAGGAGCGAAAGCUAGGGGAGCAAACGGG